CCUACGGGAGGCUGCAGUGGGGAAUAUUGGACAAUGGGGGGAACCCUGAUCCAGCCAUGCCGCGUGUGUGAAGAAGGCCCUCGGGUUGUAAAGCACUUUCAGUGAGGAAGAACGCCUGGUGGUUAAUACCCAUCAGGAAAGACAUCACUCACAGAAGAAGCACCGGCUAACUCCGUGCCAGCAGCCGCGGUAAUACGGAGGGUGCGAGCGUUAAUCGGAAUUACUGGGCGUAAAGCGCGCGUAGGUGGCUUGAUAAGCCGGUUGUGAAAGCCCCGGGCUCAACCUGGGAACGGCAUCCGGAACUGUCAAGCUAGAGUGCAGGAGAGGAAGGUAGAAUUCCCGGUGUAGCGGUGAAAUGCGUAGAGAUCGGGAGGAAUACCAGUGGCGAAGGCGGCCUUCUGGACUGACACUGACACUGAGGUGCGAAAGCGUGGGUAGCAAACAGGAUUAGAACCCUUGUAGUC
RNAcentral lists this ribosomal RNA (464 nucleotides) under Vreelandella stevensii. RNAcentral describes it as "partial 16S ribosomal RNA". It matches the Rfam family "Bacterial small subunit ribosomal RNA", at positions 338 to 795 of the family's 1533-position model. The record is from RNAcentral. Lineage: Bacteria; Pseudomonadati; Pseudomonadota; Gammaproteobacteria; Oceanospirillales; Halomonadaceae.